This 380-nucleotide ribosomal RNA is filed under the name uncultured eukaryote. RNAcentral describes it as "SSU rRNA". It matches the Rfam family "Eukaryotic small subunit ribosomal RNA", at positions 587 to 972 of the family's 1831-position model. The record is from RNAcentral.
AGCUCCAAUAGCGUAUAUUAAAGUUGUUGCAGUUAAAAAGCUCGUAGUUGAAUUUUGGGUUUGAUCGACUGGUCUUGUCGCAAGAUAUGUACUAGUUGGUCGAAUCUUUCCUUCUGGCGAACUAUUGUGCUAUUAAUUUAGUGUGAUAGGGAUCCAGGACUUUUACUUUGAAAAAAUUAGAGUGUUUAAAGCAGGCUUACGCUUGAAUACAUUAGCAUGGAAUAAUAGAAUAGGACUUUGGUUCUAUUUUGUUGGUUUCUAGGACCGAAGUAAUGAUUAAUAGGGAUAGUUGGGGGCAUUAGUAUUUAAUUGUCAGAGGUGAAAUUCUUGGAUUUAUGAAAGACUAACUUCUGCGAAAGCAUUUGCCAAGGAUGUUUUCA